GAUUGCUGAAUGUAAGAUGUGUCAAGAUGAAGAAUAGGACUAAAAUUUGGAAACUUUUUCGUCUUGUGCAAGGUUUUCAAAGUCUUACUAUUAUGGUCUCAUUUUUGUUUUAUGUAUAAUAUGCUAUCAAUUGGUAUUUUUGUUUUUGUUUCGGAAUUAAAGCCAAUAUGCUUUUGCUCUUUCACAACAACAACAACCCAGUAUAGUUCCACUUAGUGGGGUCUGAGGAGGGUAGUGUGUAUACAGACCUUACCCCUAUCCUGGGGUAGAGAGGCUGUUUCCAAAUAAACCCCCGACAUCCUUCCCUCCGAGAACGUCCUACCUUGCUCUUGUGGAGACUCGAACUCACAACCUCUUGGUUGGAAGUGGGGUUGCUUACCAUCAUAGCAACCCCUCUUGUCUGCUUUUGCUCUUUUUCACAGACUUUAGAAAUUUGUCUUCAGUAAAAAUUAAAUCUGGAGUAACAUUCUUACUUGGCUUAACAGCCAAAGCUUUUUGGUCUUGGUUUGACUCUCUGCACAAGAUAUAGUAACUUUUUGUGUUAGGAGCAACGUAAAUUUUUUGUAGUCUUUUGCAUCUUCUUGAUGGCAUAAUCUUACAUAUUACUUCAUUAAAAAAAGACGAAAUCUUGAGUACUUGUGAUAGCCAUAUAGGUCUGGUCUAUUUUUGGUCCCACUACUCAAGAAUUGUUUUGUUUUAUUGAUGUGCAUAGGGAUCUUUACUUCUAUAAUGACAUGUUAACUCCAAUAAGAGAUCAGAAGAAGUGGUCGUCUUAUGAUGAGCUUGGAUGAAUAUGAAUGAGUCACUAUUGGUUACAUAUAUUUGGGAAUCCAGGUAAUUGAUCAACAAAGUUGCUGAACUUCUUAUUCUUAAAGACAAGGAUGUUAUUUAUAUUUCAUUCUUUUACCUCUUUUUAUGUAAGUUAAAGUGGUAAGAUCAUUACAUGAUUUGCUAUUUUAGUUCUAUCAUUGUGUGUUUCCUUUGUUGAGCUGCCUGUUACAUAUGAUAUUUAUAAUAUGGAGUAUUCAAAUUUUGACUUCAAAG
RNAcentral lists this long non-coding RNA (1044 nucleotides) under Nicotiana benthamiana. RNAcentral's name for it is "long non-coding RNA (NBEN_LNC034318)". The record is from RNAcentral. Lineage: Eukaryota; Viridiplantae; Streptophyta; Magnoliopsida; Solanales; Solanaceae.